This 454-nucleotide ribosomal RNA is filed under the name uncultured organism. RNAcentral describes it as "partial 16S ribosomal RNA". It matches the Rfam family "Bacterial small subunit ribosomal RNA", at positions 331 to 801 of the family's 1533-position model. The record is from RNAcentral.
GUACACUCCUACGGGAGGCAGCAGUGGGGAAUAUUGGACAAUGGGCGCAAGCCUGAUCCAGCCAUGCCGCGUGAGUGAUGAAGGCCCUAGGGUUGUAAAGCUCUUUCACCGGUGAAGAUAAUGACGGUAACCGGAGAAGAAGCCCCGGCUAACUUCGUGCCAGCAGCCGCGGUAAUACGAAGGGGGCUAGCGUUGUUCGGAUUUACUGGGCGUAAAGCGAACGUAGGCGGACUAUUAAGUCAGGGGUGAAAUCCCGGGGCUCAACCCCGGAACUGCCUUUGAUACUGGUAGUCUUGAGUUCGAGAGAGGUGAGUGGAAUUCCGAGUGUAGAGGUGAAAUUCGUAGAUAUUCGGAGGAACACCAGUGGCGAAGGCGGCUCACUGGCUCGAUACUGACGCUGAGGUGCGAAAGCGUGGGGAGCAAACAGGAUUAGAUACCCUUGUAGUCCCAUGAU